AGAGUUUGAUCCUGGCUCAGAUUGAACGCUGGCGGCAGGCCUAACACAUGCAAGUCGAGCGGGGUUUUCGGACCUAUCGGCGGACGGGUGAGUAAUGCGUAGGAAGCUACCCGAUAGAGGGGGAUACCAGUUGGAAACGACUGUUAAUACCGCAUAAUGUCUACGGACCAAAGUGUGGGACCUUCGGGCCACAUGCUAUCGGAUGCGCCUACGUGGGAUUAGCUAGUUGGUGGGGUAAUGGCUCACCAAGGCGACGAUCCCUAGCUGGUUUGAGAGGAUGAUCAGCCACACUGGAACUGAGACACGGUCCAGACUCCUACGGGAGGCAGCAGUGGGGAAUAUUGGACAAUGGGCGCAAGCCUGAUCCAGCCAUGCCGCGUGUGUGAAGAAGGCCUUCGGGUUGUAAAGCACUUUCAGCGAGGAGGAAGGGUUAGUAGUUAAUAGCUGCUACUUUUGACGUUACUCGCAGAAGAAGCACCGGCUAACUCUGUGCCAGCAGCCGCGGUAAUACAGAGGGUGCAAGCGUUAAUCGGAAUUACUGGGCGUAAAGCGCACGUAGGCGGUUUUUU
This 569-nucleotide ribosomal RNA is filed under the name uncultured bacterium. RNAcentral describes it as "bacterial SSU rRNA". It matches the Rfam family "Bacterial small subunit ribosomal RNA", at positions 8 to 584 of the family's 1533-position model. The record is from RNAcentral.